This is a non-coding RNA of Ictidomys tridecemlineatus (thirteen-lined ground squirrel), 2340 nucleotides long. The record is from RefSeq and is a predicted model, not a curated record. NCBI's taxonomy places the organism in Eukaryota, Metazoa, Chordata, Mammalia, Rodentia, Sciuridae.
UGUUUGUAGCUAUAAACAGGGGACAGAUUCAGAAAUAUACAAACAUGCCUAGUAACCUAUUUCCUAGAAUUGCAAUGCUCAACUUCCAAUUAACCUCAGAUUUACAAGACUAAUCAGACGCUCCAGUCCGUUCCCACUGUGUAUCAUCUUUCACUUGACCUAAAUCUGUAGCAAACCUCAGGAAGUACACUCCUUUGUGGAGCCAGUCACACCGCUGGAUGAACCCAGCACGGGGCUGUCACGUCUGCAAACAUAGCUAGCAGUUUGCGAGGGGACUGUCUGUGUGCUUCAGGUUCAAGGAGGACUUUGCUGACCACGGGAUGUGUUCCGUGUUCCUAGGAGGCUGGGCUGAGUCACUUACCUUUGUCCCCAGGUUCUCUUGGAAGUUAAUAUUGGCAGACAUUUAUCUACCAGCCGCUGGGUCAGCAGCAUUCCACCAAGCCCUCCCCUCCAUCUUCACAAAGGGGGAGGAGCCAUUAGGAUCACUCUCAGGCACAGAGAAGUGAGGACACGGCACACAGCAACCCCUCGGAACACAGCUGGAGAGUGUCCCGGGAAAACUAAAGCUCCAGAAUACUGCGGUCACUCGGCUAUCGAGGGGGAAUAAUACAAGAACAUUCUUCCCUUGAGCCGUGGACUCCAUCGGGAAGAGGACCAGGCCCUCAGGCUGGUGCAGGAGGCAGAUUCACCUGCUUUCCUUGGUCCCAGGGCAGCUGCAGGCAGAGUGCCGUCUUCAUCCUGACUGGUCCCUUCGUACUCGACGCCUACCGACAGGUGCCUCACAGGACCACAGGAGGCGGGGCAGGCGGAAUACCUCUCUCCUUGGGCCUCCUGCUCCAAGUGUGCCUAGACUCUAAAACGGCUUGUGCUAUUGUUUGAAUGUGUGCCCCCAAAUUCAUGUGCUAAAAACUUUCGCCCCAGCGCAGCAGUGCAGAGAAGAGGCAGCUCUAAGAGGUGGUUAGAUUAGGAUUCCGCCUUCGGGAGGGUGUUAAUGCCAUCAUGGGCGGUGGGGGGCCAUUACGCAGGAGUGCUCCUGAGGAAAGGGGGAUUUCCACCCUUCUCCCUCUCACACCUGUGCUCUUUGGCUCUCGUGUGAUGCAGCAAGAAAGCCCUCAGCUGGGACUUCCCAGAGUCCAGGCCAUGAGUCAGCUAAACUUUCAUUGCUCAGAAAUGACUCAGUUUGUGGCAUUCUGUUAUAGCAGCAUGCAGUGCACUGAGACGGCUUUCUUGGCAGAAAAAGCAGAAUAUCCAGAGUCUAUCCCCAGAUGCCGAGCCAUUCUGCGGCUCCUUACGCACCACAAAUGGUAGGAUCAAAACACCAGACCUAAAAUUUCCCAGUGAAGUUGAUGGGGCUCAACCCCCGUUGGCCGGGUGCCUUGGGUGCUCAGCCAUCUCCUACUCCUCCUUCAGUCACUCCACCUUCAGCUCAUUCUGUCACCCUGCUGUCAGAGUCUUGACGUCUCUGGUGCUCUACUCCUGCCUGCUUUCUCCACCCAGGCCCAGCUAUGUACCUUCCCAGAGACCAGCUUCCUCCUGAAAAAGGUGACACUACGGCUUCUGGUCCUUUUUGCUCUCAUACUGCACACAGAUUGUCCUCUGCAAACUUGAUCCAGGCUGAUUCCCUGGACACUGUUUGGAAGGAAGGGCCCCUGACCAGAGGGAGCUCUAGAAACAAACACAACUUUCUUGUGGAGCUGCGCGGCCAGCUGCCUUUCUGCCCACCUCCAUCCUUGUGAUCCAGGGGUCCACGCCAGACAGUCCUGCCUCAGCCACCCUCACGAUUCCAAGGGGGAAAACAAAUCUACAGAAGGGAGAGAGUAUUUCAGUGAGAGGAUGGGGCCUGGGGAGAGAAAUAGGAAUGAGAACUGGUUUGACCAGAACUCAUGCUUCAAGUUGGAGUUUUCAAGUGUUUCAAGGAGAAGGAUCAGUGGGGUAAAAGUAUUAAAGACCAAUGUUAAGGAAUUUGGAAUCCAAUAGUUAAAAACCAUUUGAGAUAGUUUUAUGACAUUACUUAUAUUAACAUUGUUAUUUACUGAGAAAAAAUGUGUAAGAUAUUUCACUACGAUUGAUGAGUGUUUAUGUUCCUUGAAGUUCUGUUUAAUUGUUUUAUUUAUUUUGAGACUGUGUUAUUCAUUGCAUACAGGUUGAGAAUUACUAUAAUUUCCUUAUGAAUUAACCUUUACCAUCAUAUAGUGGCUACCUUACCUGAAAUAAUGAGUUUUGUCUAUAAAUCUAAUUCAUAUGAUAUUAAUAUUUUCUUUUGGCUAGUACUUAAUUUUCUUUUGGCUAGUACUUAACCCAGAGUAAAAUAUUCCCUUUGUUGCUGGACCAUCUUGGAAA